CAGUAGCCACGGUAAAACGAAGGGGGCUAGCGUUGUUCGGAAUUACUGGGCGUAAAGCGCACGUAGGCGGAUAUUUAAGUCAGGGGUGAAAUCCCGCAGCUCAACUGCAGAACUGCCUUUGAUACUGGGUAUCUUGAGUAUGGAAGAGGUUAGUGGAAUUGCGAGUGUAGAGGUGAAAUUCGUAGAUAUUCGCAGGAACACCAGUGGCGAAGGCGGCUAACUGGUCCAUAACUGACGCUGAGGUGCGAAAGCGUGGGGAGCAAACAGGAUUAGAUACCCCCGUAGUCCCUGUCUCUUAUAC
RNAcentral lists this ribosomal RNA (301 nucleotides) under uncultured bacterium. RNAcentral describes it as "partial 16S ribosomal RNA". It matches the Rfam family "Bacterial small subunit ribosomal RNA", at positions 509 to 807 of the family's 1533-position model. The record is from RNAcentral.